Molecule: ribosomal RNA, 993 nt
Filed under: Sympetrum pedemontanum
Lineage: Eukaryota; Metazoa; Arthropoda; Insecta; Odonata; Libellulidae
Description: SSU rRNA
Rfam family: Eukaryotic small subunit ribosomal RNA
Source: RNAcentral
AUUAGCCAUGCAUGUCUCAGUACAAGCCGCAUUAAGGCGAAACCGCGAAUGGCUCAUUAAAUCAGUUAUGGUUCCUUAGAUCUUACACUUUUUACAUGGAUAACUGUGGUAAUUCUAGAGCUAAUACAUGAAACUUGUACCCCGACUUUACGGAAGGGGUGCUUUUAUUAGAACAAAACCAAUCGGUCGGCUCGUCCGUCCGUUGCCUUGGUGACUCUGAAUAACUUUGUGCUGAUCGCACGGUCCUAGCACCGGCGACGCAUCUUUCAAAUGUCUGCCUUAUCAACUGUCGAUGGUAGGUUCUGCGCCUACCAUGGUUGUAACGGGUGACGGGGAAUCAGGGUUCGAUUCCGGAGAGGGAGCCUGAGAAACGGCUACCACAUCCAAGGAAGGCAGCAGGCGCGCAAAUUACCCACUCCCGGCACGGGGAGGUAGUGACGAAAAAUAACGAUACGGGACUCAUCCGAGGCCCCGUAAUCGGAAUGAGAACACUUUAAAUCCUUUAACGAGGAUCUAUUGGAGGGCAAGUCUGGUGCCAGCAGCCGCGGUAAUUCCAGCUCCAAUAGCGUAUAUUAAAGUUGUUGCGGUUAAAAAGCUCGUAGUCGGAGGUGUGUCUCGGACGGUUGGUUCGCCGCUUGCCGGUGCUCAACUGGCCGGUCCGGACGUCCUGCCGGUGGGGCUGUAAAAGGCUCCGUUAUCCUUCUUUGGUCCUCUUCAUUGAGUGCCUUGGUGGGCCGGCACGUUUACUUUGAACAAAUUAGAGUGCUCAAAGCAGGCCGUUGGUCGCCUGAAUACUGUGUGCAUGGAAUAAUAGAAUAGGACCUCGGUUCCAUUUUGUUGGUUUUCAGAACUCGAGGUAAUGAUUAAUAGGGACGGACGGGGGCAUUCGUAUUGCGACGUUAGAGGUGAAAUUCUUGGAUCGUCGCAAGACGAACCGAUGCGAAAGCAUUUGCCAAGAACGUUUUCGUUGAUCAAGAACGAAAGUUAGAGGUU